RNAcentral lists this transfer RNA (77 nucleotides) under Planctomycetota bacterium. Its description in RNAcentral is "Planctomycetes bacterium (groundwater metagenome) tRNA-Arg". It matches the Rfam family "tRNA". Rfam says of the family: Transfer RNA (tRNA) molecules are approximately 80 nucleotides in length. Their secondary structure includes four short double-helical elements and three loops (D, anti-codon, and T loops). Lineage: Bacteria; Pseudomonadati; Planctomycetota. The record is from RNAcentral.
GCGCCCGUAGCUCAGCUGGAUAGAGCAUCGGAUUUCUAAUCCGACGGUCAGUGGUUCGAGUCCACUCGGGCGCGCCA